Molecule: ribosomal RNA, 466 nt
Filed under: Vreelandella stevensii
Lineage: Bacteria; Pseudomonadati; Pseudomonadota; Gammaproteobacteria; Oceanospirillales; Halomonadaceae
Description: partial 16S ribosomal RNA
Rfam family: Bacterial small subunit ribosomal RNA
Source: RNAcentral
CCUACGGGGGGCAGCAGUGGGGAAUAUUGGACAAUGGGGGGAACCCUGAUCCAGCCAUGCCGCGUGUGUGAAGAAGGCCCUCGGGUUGUAAAGCACUUUCAGUGAGGAAGAACGCCUGGUGGUUAAUACCCAUCAGGAAAGACAUCACUCACGGAAGAAGCACCGGCUAACUCCGUGCCAGCAGCCGCAGGUAAUACGGAGGGUGCGAGCGUUAAUCGGAAUUACUGGGCGUAAAGCGCGCGUAGGUGGCUUGAUAAGCCGGUUGUGAAAGCCCCGGGCUCAACCUGGGAACGGCAUCCGGAACUGUCAAGCUAGAGUGCAGGAGAGGAAGGUAGAAUUCCCGGUGUAGCGGUGAAAUGCGUAGAGAUCGGGAGGAAUACCAGUGGCGAAGGCGGCCUUCUGGACUGACACUGACACUGAGGUGCGAAAGCGUGGGUAGCAAACAGGAUUAGAUACCCCGGUAGUC